RNAcentral lists this transfer RNA (77 nucleotides) under Camelimonas abortus. Its description in RNAcentral is "tRNA-Pro". It matches the Rfam family "tRNA". Rfam says of the family: Transfer RNA (tRNA) molecules are approximately 80 nucleotides in length. Their secondary structure includes four short double-helical elements and three loops (D, anti-codon, and T loops). Further hydrogen bonds mediate the characteristic L-shaped molecular structure. tRNAs have two regions of fundamental functional importance: the anti-codon, which is responsible for specific mRNA codon recognition, and the 3' end, to which the tRNAs corresponding amino acid is attached (by aminoacyl-tRNA synthetases). tRNAs cope with the degeneracy of the genetic code in two manners: having more than one tRNA (with a specific anti-codon) for a particular amino acid; and 'wobble' base-pairing, i.e. permitting non-standard base-pairing at the 3rd anti-codon position. RNAcentral also lists the same sequence under 2 other names. Lineage: Bacteria; Pseudomonadati; Pseudomonadota; Alphaproteobacteria; Hyphomicrobiales; Chelatococcaceae. The record is from RNAcentral.
CGGAGUGUAGCGCAGCCUGGUAGCGCACCUCGUUCGGGACGAGGGGGUCGAAGGUUCAAAUCCUUUCACUCCGACCA